This 700-nucleotide ribosomal RNA is filed under the name uncultured beta proteobacterium. RNAcentral describes it as "bacterial SSU rRNA". It matches the Rfam family "Bacterial small subunit ribosomal RNA", at positions 83 to 777 of the family's 1533-position model. The record is from RNAcentral. Lineage: Bacteria; Pseudomonadati; Pseudomonadota; Betaproteobacteria.
GACCCCUUGAGAGUGGCGAACGGGUGAGUAAUAUAUCGGAACGUGCCCAGUCGUGGGGGAUAACGUAGCGAAAGUUACGCUAAUACCGCAUACGAUCUACGGAUGAAAGCGGGGGACUCGCAAGAGCCUCGCGCGAUUGGAGCGGCCGAUAUCAGAUUAGGUAGUUGGUGGGGUAAAGGCUCACCAAGCCAACGAUCUGUAGCUGGUCUGAGAGGACGACCAGCCACACUGGAACUGAGACACGGUCCAGACUCCUACGGGAGGCAGCAGUGGGGAAUUUUGGACAAUGGACGCAAGUCUGAUCCAGCCAUUCCGCGUGCAGGAUGAAGGCCCUCGGGUUGUAAACUGCUUUUGUACGGAACGAAAAGGUUUCUCUUAAUACGAGGAGCUCAUGACGGUACCGUAAGAAUAAGCACCGGCUAACUACGUGCCAGCAGCCGCGGUAAUACGUAGGGUGCAAGCGUUAAUCGGAAUUACUGGGCGUAAAGCGUGCGCAGGCGGUUAUAUAAGACAGAUGUGAAAUCCCCGGGCUCAACCUGGGAACUGCAUUUGUGACUGUAUAGCUAGAGUACGGUAGAGGGGGAUGGAAUUCCGCGUGUAGCAGUGAAAUGCGUAGAUAUGCGGAGGAACACCGAUGGCGAAGGCAAUCCCCUGGACCUGUACUGACGCUCAUGCACGAAAGCGUGGGGAGCAAACAGGA